AGCCUCCACCCGCAACUCAUCUCUCCACCACGUCCUAAGAAAAACCCGCCUGAAACUUGUUUUCGUAUUCCGAGAAGACCCUUACACGACAGCUCUAACCUUGACGUUUUCUCAGGGACAGUUCCGUACUCUUCAGCUGUCUUUGGCAAACCAAUGGGGAUUCCUAGCGGCGACGACGUCGUCUUAAUCCAACAACCCAAGAGUCCCGGUGACUCCACCGUCGUCACUGUCAAUUGCCCCGACAAGGCCGGCCUCGGCUGCGACCUUUGCCGUAUAAUUCUCGAGUUUGGCCUUUGCAUCACUCGCGCAGACUUUUCCACGGAUGGAAGAUGGUGUUACAUAGUAUUCUGGGUGGUUCCAGACUCCACCUUACAUAGACUCAAUUGGGAUAGCUUGAAAAACCGGCUGUCUUAUGCCUCCCCUCCUUGUUUGAUUCCAUUCUAUUUUGAUCAGAAGUCCAAUGGUCCCUCACUGCCUUCGCUCUAUCUCUUGAAGUUUUGUUUUCUUGACCAGAAAGGGUUGCUACAUGAUGUUACUAAAGUACUUACUGAGCUUGAAUUUACAAUUCAAAGAGUGAAAGUGAUGACAACACCAGAUGGGAAAGUUAUAGACCUAUUCUUCAUCACAGAUGGCAUGGAGCUUUUACACACAGAAAAAAGGCGAGGUGACACAUGUAGACAUUUGGUUUCUGUUUUCAAAGAGUGUUGCAUCAGUUGCGAACUUCAACUGGCAGGACCUGAAUAUGAAAGUCUCCAGGCUUUCUCUUCCCUCCCACUUGCAAUUGCUGAGGAAUUGUUUAGCUAUGAACCAUCAGAAGGGAAAUCCGGUACCCAAGCUAUCUGCACAGAUACAGCAAUGGCAAAUAAGACCUCUGUUACAAUGGAUAAUCAUUUGAGCCCGGCUCAUACAUUACUUCAAAUUCAAUGUAUUGAUCAGAAAGGCCUAUUUUACGAUAUAUUGAGGACCUCAAAAGACUGCAACAUCCAGGUACUUCCCUGUUGAUUAUUCUCAAUACAAUCUAUUGUUACUGUUUAUCAUUUAGCUAUCUUGAAUCGGAUAUAUCCAUUUUGAGUGUUACUCUUUCUAUUAUGAGGUACUUGCAUUUAAGGUCUUUUGCUGGUCAGCUUUCAUUAGUUUACUUGACCGACUAAAGAAAUUACACAACAAUAUUUUUGUUUGUUUAUCCAUGUAGAAUUUAUUUCAGUGUGUCUCCGGAUAUGACCAUAUUCCAAGUGUGCUUUCUUGGGCCUCUGCGUUAUUGUGUAUUUGGCUAUAUUGAUCAAUGCUUCCAAUUACUACUUUAUCAAUGCACAUUUGUUGUUUUUUUUUCUCGUAUAGAUUGCUUAUGGUAGAUUCUCUUCGAAUGUAAAAGGGUACCGGAAUGUGGAUUUAUUCAUUCAGCAAACCAAUGGGAGGAAGAUAAUAGAUCCUAAGCUUCAGCUCACUUUGUGUUCUCGUUUAAAGGCAGAAAUGCUUCAUCCAUUUCGAGUGAUUAUUGCCAACCGUGGCCCAGAUACUGAACUGUUGGUUGCUAACCCUGUUGAAUUAUGUGGGAAGGGAAGACCUCGUGUUUUCUACGAUGUUACAUUGGCUCUAAAAACAUUAGGAAUAUGCAUUUUCUCGGCUGAAAUUGGAAGACACUCAACUAAGGAUCAACAGUGGGAAGUCUACAGAUUUCUCUUGGAUGAAAAUUGUAGAGUUCCAUUAGCAAGUGCUAGAGGCAGAAAAGAAAUAGUGGACAGAGUGAGACGGACAUUGAUGGGCUGGUAAGAUAAUCUCUGCAUCCGAACAAUGCUGGUGAGAAACAUGGUUUGCUGUCUCAGAAUUACUCUCAAGCUGGACAUCUCAGCACAGCAGGGGUAUAUGUAUUCGCUGAUGUCGGAAGAAAGCCUAUUUAAGGUUGUCCAUUGAGAUGAUUUGUGCUAAUAUUGCCUCUCCUUUGUAUUCUAUCUGGUAUUAUCCCUGCUUGGCUCCAUGUUUUGCAGUGUAAUCAAAGAGAAUCAUUCAUAGCAUUCUUAAUGGAUAGGUAAGGCAACC
RNAcentral lists this unclassified non-coding RNA (2037 nucleotides) under Hevea brasiliensis (rubber tree). The record is from RNAcentral. Lineage: Eukaryota; Viridiplantae; Streptophyta; Magnoliopsida; Malpighiales; Euphorbiaceae.